RNAcentral lists this ribosomal RNA (301 nucleotides) under uncultured bacterium. RNAcentral's name for it is "partial 16S ribosomal RNA". It matches the Rfam family "Bacterial small subunit ribosomal RNA", at positions 509 to 809 of the family's 1533-position model. The record is from RNAcentral.
CAGCAGCCGCGGGAAUACGUAGGGUGCAAGCGUUAAUCGGAAUUACUGGGCGUAAAGCGUGCGCAGGCGGUUAUAUAAGACAGAUGUGAAAUCCCCGGGCUCAACCUGGGACCUGCAUUUGUGACUGUAUAGCUAGAGUACGGUAGAGGGGGAUGGAAUUCCGCGUGUAGCAGUGAAAUGCGUAGAUAUGCGGAGGAACACCGAUGGCGAAGGCAAUCCCCUGGACCUGUACUGACGCUCAUGCACGAAAGCGUGGGGAGCAAACAGGAUUAGAGACCCCAGUAGUCCCUGUCUCUUAUAA